This 1755-nucleotide long non-coding RNA is filed under the name Felis catus (domestic cat). RNAcentral describes it as "lncRNA (ENSFCAG00000044736.2)". The record is from RNAcentral. Lineage: Eukaryota; Metazoa; Chordata; Mammalia; Carnivora; Felidae.
AAUAAGUUAUUGCUGCUCACCUGGUUCACAGUGUAUGUGAACAGCAGGCAGACCUCACCGUUGUUCACUUUCCCUAGCCAGAGGACACCUGCUGGCAAGGAGGAAACUGAUUUGAACAGAUUAAAAUCGACAGUGAAUAUUAAGGUGAGCAUCUGGAGGCAAGCUUCAACACUUACCACCUCCUCAGGCCUACGUCUUGACUUCCCACCCUACUUCCAUGACAGUUUGGCUCUGCAAGCUGCCAGCUUAUCACUUUUCAGGAACAUACCAAACCAUCUCUCUGUUCGUGCUCAUGGACACGUUCUUCUCUCUGCCCCAUCAACAUUUCACCGGCUACCUUCUGGUCACCCUUUAGAUGUGGAAGAUAUUGGAUACAGAGAGAAAGUGCUCUUGUCUCCUCCCCAGGUAGUUAGAUGUGGUCUCUGAUGGAAUUGGAUUGACCUUGCCUUCUACGUUAUUUGUUUCCCAGCGUUAACUUUAAAUUUCUUAGAGGGCAGAAACUAGCUCUGUAGUUUUGUCUUUAUGAUCUUACAGUGCAUUGUACCUGGUAAGCCCCUCAUAAAUGUUUGUUGGCUAAACAGAUUAAACAGAUAGAUGCAUUUGGUGGUUGAUUGGUACAGUUCAGAGGCUACUCUAAUGAAAAAGGUAUAGAAAAUAGAGAGUUGAGUGGAGUGAUUAAGCAUGUGGGCUUUAGAACCUGACUACCCAGAAUGGAAUAUUGUCUCUACCACUUAAUAACUGUGGGUUCUUGGGAAAGUUAGGUAAACUUUCUUGCCUUAGCUCUAAGGUGAAACCCUUAGCUUAAAGUGUUUAGUAAUAAUACUAGCUUCAUUGGGUUGUUGGAGUGAUAAAAUGAAGUAAUAUAUGUUAAGUGCUUUAGACAGUGCUGAGACCUACUAAGUAACUCAGUACACUUAAAAUUGUUCCAGAUGACAGAUCACGGCAUUUAAUGAACACUCAUGAGGGCCGAUGAAAGUAGAUCCAGGAAAGAGAAGAGCAAGAAGUCCCUUACCUGUGCACACUUGCUUGAAACUCUCAUUUCCCUGAUUAUGCUACUGAACAUAGCAUAUUGAAAUUUUUGUACUAGUAUGUCUCUCCAUUUUAUCCUGAAGAUCAGGGUGAGAAGGUCCAUAUCCUUGUCGAGUACUGCUGCAUCACCAAUGCCAAUGCAUAGAUAUUCGUCAACAAAUAUUUGCAAAUGAUCAACAAGCAGAGCUUGGUGAAAUCAUUUGAUGCUUUUAUGGCCUGUGUUCUAAUAACCUAGACGGUAAGUAACUGAGAGUCUGAAAAAUUCUAAGCUGAAAACAGAUAUUGCAACUACCAUGUCUCUUAACAGGGAUCCCUUGAAAUUCUCUCGUCUUGACGUUUUAAGUGUAAAUGUGCCCUUUACCUAUGUGUGCGAUUAGGGAUGACAUAAGUGGGGAUGGGUCCACCAGAGGUAAAGUCAAGGAAGAGUAGGGGCAAGGCACUGAACCCAGGAGCAAGGUCCUAGUUACAUGAGAAUGACAGUCGUGUCGACUAGAGAGAACCCCAAGUACAUCGGGGGAAGGGUGUACACAUAACCACCACAGCUUCAUAUUUCAUUACAAGAUUAAAGAAAAAAAGAUGAGUGGGUUUAGGGAGAUAAGGCUGUGAGUUAAUAGCUCACUGUUUGGAGAGCCCCAUAUAUAACAGCCCAGGACACAAACUUAUUUGAUGAAUGAUAUCUUCAGGGAAUUUCCAGAAAAAUAAAAGUUUUCCAAUUAGUUUCCUUCA